CCUACGAGAGGCAGCAGUGAGGAAUAUUGGUCAAUGGGCGGAAGCCUGAACCAGCCAAGUCGCGUGAGGGAAUAAGGCCCUAUGGGUCGUCAACCUCUUUUGCCGGGGAGCAAGGGCCGGGACGAGUCCCGGGCCGGAGAGUACCCGGAGAAAAAGCAUCGGCUAACUCCGUGCCAGCAGCCGCGGUAAUACGGAGGAUGCGAGCGUUAUCCGGUUUUAUUGGGUUUAAAGGGUGCGUAGGCGGACUGUUAAGUCAGCGGUAAAAGCCCGGGGCUCAACCCCGGCGAGCCGUUGAAACGGGCUGUCUUGAGAUGUCGAGAGGUAUGCGGAAUGCGCAGUGUAGCGGUGAAAUGCUUAGAUAUUGCGCAGAACUCCGAUUGCGAAGGCAGCAUACCGGCGGCGAUCUGACGCUGAGGCACGAAAGCGUGGGUAUCGAACAGGAUUAGAUACCCCAGUAGUC
Molecule: ribosomal RNA, 460 nt
Filed under: uncultured bacterium
Lineage: Bacteria
Description: partial 16S ribosomal RNA
Rfam family: Bacterial small subunit ribosomal RNA
Source: RNAcentral